GAUCCUGGCUCAGAUUGAACGCUGGCGGCAGGCCUAACACAUGCAAGUCGAACGGUAACAGGAAGAAGCUUGCUUCUUGCUGACGAGUGGCGGACGGGUGAGUAAUGUCUGGGAAACUGCCUGAUGGAGGGGGAUAACUACUGGAAACGGUAGCUAAUACCGCAUAACGUCGCAAGACCAAAGAGGGGGACCUUCGGGCCUCUUGCCAUCGGAUGUGCCCAGAUGGGAUUAGCUAGUAGGUGGGGUAACGGCUCACCUAGGCGACGAUCCCUAGCUGGUCUGAGAGGAUGACCAGCCACACUGGAACUGAGACACGGUCCAGACUCCUACGGGAGGCAGCAGUGGGGAAUAUUGCACAAUGGGCGCAAGCCUGAUGCAGCCAUGCCGCGUGUAUGAAGAAGGCCUUCGGGUUGUAAAGUACUUCAGCGGGGAGGAAGGGAGUAAAGUUAAUACCUUUGCUCAUUGACGUUACCCGCAGAAGAAGCACCGGCUAACUCCGUGCCAGCCGCCGC
This 512-nucleotide ribosomal RNA is filed under the name uncultured bacterium. Its description in RNAcentral is "bacterial SSU rRNA". It matches the Rfam family "Bacterial small subunit ribosomal RNA", at positions 15 to 518 of the family's 1533-position model. The record is from RNAcentral.